CCUACGGGUGGCAGCAGUGGGGAAUUUUGCGCAAUGCGCGAAAGAUUGACGCAGCGACGCCGCGUGCAUGAUGAAGGCCUUCGGCUCGUAAAGCGCUAUCGUCAGGGAAGAAGAUUACGGUAACUGACCAAUAAGAGCCGGGUAACCACGUGCCAGCAGCCGCGGGAAAACAUAGGGGGCAAGCGUGCGCCGGAUUUACUGGGUGUAAAGGUGGCGCAGGCGGGAAUGCAAGCCAGGAGUGAAGGCUCCGGGCCCAACCCCGGGACUGCUCUUGGUACUGGAAGGCUGGAGUACGGGAGAGGCAGGCGGAAUUCCUAGUGUAGCGGUGAAAUGCGUAGAUAUAAGGAAGAACACCGAUGGCGAAGGCAGCCUGCUGGA
This 378-nucleotide ribosomal RNA is filed under the name uncultured bacterium. RNAcentral describes it as "partial 16S ribosomal RNA". It matches the Rfam family "Bacterial small subunit ribosomal RNA", at positions 338 to 733 of the family's 1533-position model. The record is from RNAcentral.